GAUGAAAACGUAGCGAAAUGCGAUACGUAAUGUGAAUUGCAGAAUUCAGUGAAUCAUCGAAUCUUUGAACGCAUAUUGCGCUCUCUGGUAUUCCGGAGAGCAUGCUUGUUUGAGUAUCAGUAAACACCUCAACUCCCUUUUCUUUUUUGAAAUUGGAGCUGGACUUGAGUGAUCCCAACGCUUUCUUCCAAGAAAGUGGCGGGUUGCUUGAAAUGCAGGUGCAGCUGAACUUUUCUCUGAGCUAUAAGCAUAUCUAUUUAGUCUGCCUAAAAAACAGAUUAUUACCUUUGCUGCAGCUAACAUAAAGGAGACUAGUUCUUGUGCUGACUGAUGCAGGAUUCACAGAGACAGCUUCGGCUGACUUUGUAAACUCGAUCUCAAAUCAAGUAAGACUACCCGCUGAACUUAAGCAUAUCAAUAAGCGGAGGA
RNAcentral lists this unclassified non-coding RNA (429 nucleotides) under soil metagenome. RNAcentral describes it as "partial contains 5.8S ribosomal RNA, internal transcribed spacer 2, and large subunit ribosomal RNA". The stretch from base 1 to 119 matches the Rfam family "5.8S ribosomal RNA", at positions 35 to 154 of the family's 154-position model. The record is from RNAcentral.